Molecule: unclassified non-coding RNA, 240 nt
Filed under: soil metagenome
Description: partial contains 5.8S ribosomal RNA, internal transcribed spacer 2, and large subunit ribosomal RNA
Source: RNAcentral
AACGCACGAGACCUGCGGACCUGCGGAAGGAUCAUUACCGAGUUUACAACUCCCAAACCCAAUGUGAACCAUACCAAACUGUUGCCUCGGCGGGGUCACGCCCCGGGUGCGUCGCAGCCCCGGAACCAGGCGCCCGCCGGAGGGACCAACCAAACUCUUUCUGUAGUCCCCUCGCGGACGUUAUUUCUUACAGCUCUGAGCAAAAAUUCAAAAUGAAUCAAAACUUUUAGCAAUGGAUCU